UCUUUCUGGCUCACUACUGUACAUUUUUGUGUAUCACAUUUAAACCAACUAUAUACAAACUCUUUUUACAUGACUCUUAACCCAUAUGUAUCUUUUUAGAUUUUUUUCAGAUGGAGACAUCCAGUAUGGUUUUCCGUAAAGGGAGACCAGCGAGGCCCAGAGAGAGAGGCACGGGCUGAGUUAGAUGGAGACAUCCAGUAUGGUUUUCCGUAAAGGGAGACCAGCGAGGCCCAGAGAGAGAGGCACGGGCUGAGUUAGAUGGAGACAUCCAGUAUGGUUUUCCGUAAAGGGAGACCAGCGAGGCCCAGAGAGAGAGGCACGGGCUGAGUUAGGUAAGUAUAGAUCCCAGACCCAAUGCC
Carassius carassius (crucian carp) is the source of this 359-nucleotide long non-coding RNA. RefSeq lists it as uncharacterized. NCBI's taxonomy places the organism in Eukaryota, Metazoa, Chordata, Actinopteri, Cypriniformes, Cyprinidae. The transcript has 3 exons. The record is from RefSeq and is a predicted model, not a curated record.